UGAGCAAUCUGCCCUUCUCAUCGGAAUAAGCGUUGGAAACGAUGUCUAAUGCCGAAUACGACCUCCUUUCGCAUGAUCGGAGGUGGAAAGCUCCGGCGGAGAAGGAUGAGCUCGCGGCCUAUCAGCUAGUUGGUGUGGGUAAUGGCCCACCAAGGCGACGACGGGUAGCCGGCCUGAGAGGGUGACCGGCCACACUGGGACUGAGACACGGCCCAGACUCCGUAGGGAGG
This 230-nucleotide ribosomal RNA is filed under the name uncultured bacterium. RNAcentral's name for it is "partial 16S ribosomal RNA". It matches the Rfam family "Bacterial small subunit ribosomal RNA", at positions 118 to 348 of the family's 1533-position model. The record is from RNAcentral.